GGCACUGCAAGCCAGAAAAACUCCAACAGGUGAACAGCCUUGUUUAAGAUAUUAGUACUUGAUUGAUAACAAAAUAAAUCAAGCGAGUGGAGCGGUAGUCGGCUGUCAGUAUGCACAUGGACGGAAAAGCAGCAGAUGAGUUGGUCUUCUUCGUAAACGGGAAGAAGGUUACAGAGAAGAAUGCCGACCCAGAGAUGUCACUGCUGGAGUAUCUGAGGACGAAAUUGCGGCUGACUGGUACUAAGCUGGGCUGUGCCGAGGGUGGAUGCGGAUCAUGCACGGUAAUGGUAUCCAGAUAUGACCAGGCCACGCAGAA
Lingula anatina is the source of this 316-nucleotide long non-coding RNA. NCBI's taxonomy places the organism in Eukaryota, Metazoa, Brachiopoda, Lingulata, Lingulida, Lingulidae. The record is from RefSeq and is a predicted model, not a curated record.